Molecule: long non-coding RNA, 479 nt
Organism: Stomoxys calcitrans (stable fly)
Lineage: Eukaryota; Metazoa; Arthropoda; Insecta; Diptera; Muscidae
Exons: 3
Source: RefSeq, a predicted model, not a curated record
AUACGUAUUGGAACACCGAACAGUUGUCGUUGGGUGGCAAAUUAGCAAUAUUAAGAUUUGCGAUAAGAACCAAACUAGGGAAGGCUAAUUGGUCAUUAUAGUUUUAUAUAAGGCAAAAUCAGUUUCCACUUCCUUUUCAGGUAUGGAGGGGAUAGUCGUGCAGAAUGUGUGCCGAAAUUUAUACUAAUCCGCCUAUCUUCUGUUUAGCCAAGAGACCACUUCUGCUGUAUUUUCUCCAAGGCCGAAGCUAAUAUAACGAUGAUCAAAGAAGAUGUGGUCAUCCCCACACUCCCCAGUCACAUAUCCUUCCGCUGAUAUUCUCCGGCAUAUACAUAACCUAUAGCACCUCCUGCCUUGUCCUGGUAAUAAAGGUGGGUUUACUUGCUUUGCGUCUUUAACUAAGAUUUUUGUCUUUAAAAACAAGACGUAAAGUUAAGGAUCUACCAACCUAAAAAAAUCCAAGAAAAAUUAUCUUCCAC